AUUGAACGCUGGCGGCAGGCCUAACACAUGCAAGUCGAGCGAGCGGCGGACGGGUGAGUAAUGUCUGGGAAACUGCCUGAUGGAGGGGGAUAACUACAGGAAACGGUAGCUAAUACCGCAUACCAUCAGAUGUGCCCAGAUGGGAUGAGCUAGUAGGUGGGGUAAAGGCUCACCUAGGCGACGCACCCAAGCUGGUCUGAGAGGAGGACCAGCCACACUGGAACUGAGACACGGCCCAGACGCCUACGGGAGGCAGCAGUGGGUAAUAUUGCACAAUGGGCGCAGGCCUGAUGCAGCCAUGCCGCGUGUGUGAAGAGGGCCUUCGGGUUGUAAAGCACUUUAAGCGGGGAGGCGUUACCCGCAGAAGAAGCACCGGCUAACUCCGUGCCAGCAGCCGCGGUAAUUC
This 406-nucleotide ribosomal RNA is filed under the name uncultured bacterium. Its description in RNAcentral is "partial 16S ribosomal RNA". It matches the Rfam family "Bacterial small subunit ribosomal RNA", at positions 29 to 526 of the family's 1533-position model. The record is from RNAcentral.